Molecule: ribosomal RNA, 1218 nt
Filed under: Menimus setosella
Lineage: Eukaryota; Metazoa; Arthropoda; Insecta; Coleoptera; Tenebrionidae
Also listed under: 2 other names
Description: SSU rRNA
Rfam family: Eukaryotic small subunit ribosomal RNA
Source: RNAcentral
UUGUCUCAAAGAUUAAGCCAUGCAUGUCUCAGUACAAGCCGAAUUAAGGUGAAACCGCGAAAGGCUCAUUAAAUCAGUUAUGGUUCCUUAGAUCGUACCCACAUUUACUUGGAUAACUGUGGUAAUUCUAGAGCUAAUACAUGCAAACAGAGCUCCAACCGGAAACGGAAGGAGCGCUUUUAUUAGAUCAAAACCAAUCGGUGGCGGUUUCCGUCAUCGUACAACUUGGUGACUCUGAAUAACUUUAAGCUGAUCGCACGGUCUCGCACCGGCGACGCAUCUUUCAAAUGUCUGCCUUAUCAACUGUCGAUGGUAGGUUCUGCGCCUACCAUGGUUGUAACGGGUAACGGGGAAUCAGGGUUCGAUUCCGGAGAGGGAGCCUGAGAAACGGCUACCACAUCCAAGGAAGGCAGCAGGCGCGCAAAUUACCCACUCCCGGCACGGGGAGGUAGUGACGAAAAAUAACGAUACGGGACUCAUCCGAGGCCCCGUAAUCGGAAUGAGUACACUCUAAACCCUUUAACGAGGAUCAAUUGGAGGGCAAGUCUGGUGCCAGCAGCCGCGGUAAUUCCAGCUCCAAUAGCGUAUAUUAAAGUUGUUGCGGUUAAAAAGCUCGUAGUCGAAUCUGUGUCCCGCGCCGCCGGUUCAUCGUUCGCGGUGUUAACUGGCGUGUCGCGGGACGUCCUGCCGGUGGGCUUAGCUCGCGAGGGCGGCCCAACUCAAUCCCGCCGCGGUGCUCUUCAUUGAGUGUCGAGGUGGGCCGGCACGUUUACUUUGAACAAAUUAGAGUGCUUAAAGCAGGCUAAAACUUCGCCUGAAUACUGUGUGCAUGGAAUAAUGGAAUAGGACCUCGGUUCUAUUUUGUUGGUUUUCGGAACCCCGAGGUAAUGAUUAAUAGGAACGGAUGGGGGCAUUCGUAUUGCGACGUUAGAGGUGAAAUUCUUGGAUCGUCGCAAGACGGACAGAAGCGAAAGCAUUUGCCAAAAACGCUUUCAUUGAUCAAGAACGAAAGUUAGAGGUUCGAAGGCGAUCAGAUACCGCCCUAGUUCUAACCAUAAACGAUGCCAGCUAGCGAUCCGCCGACGUUCCUCCGAUGACUCGGCGGGCAGCUUCCGGGAAACCAAAGCUUUUGGGUUCCGGGGGAAGUAUGGUUGCAAAGCUGAAACUUAAAGGAAUUGACGGAAGGGCACCACCAGGAGUGGAGCCUGCGGCUUAAUU